GAAUGCUAAAAGAAUGGAAAUUUAAAAAAAAACUUUUUUAAAAAUAAAAAUUGAAUUUUUUUUAAUUUGUGCAAAAACAAUUAUAUUUAUUAAAGACAAGAAGACCCUAAGAAUUUAAGAUUUUACAAUUAAAAAGUUUUUUUUUUUAAAAUCUUGAUUGGGGCGAUCAAAAAAUAUCAAUAACUUUUUAAAAUUUAAAUUGAUCUAUUAUUAAUAAACUAAUGAAUUAAAUACUCUAGGGAUAACAGCGUAAUAAUUUUUGAUAGAUCUUAUUGACAAAAUAGUUUGCGACCUCGAUGUUGGAUUAGGAUUCUUUUUUAAUGAAAAAGUUAAAAAAAGAAGUUUGUUCAACUUUUAAAUUCCUACUUGAUCUGAGUUCAGACCG
This 385-nucleotide ribosomal RNA is filed under the name Hyalomma sp. RNAcentral describes it as "partial large subunit ribosomal RNA". The stretch from base 241 to 385 matches the Rfam family "Bacterial large subunit ribosomal RNA", at positions 2473 to 2618 of the family's 2925-position model. The record is from RNAcentral. Lineage: Eukaryota; Metazoa; Arthropoda; Arachnida; Ixodida; Ixodidae.